This 258-nucleotide ribosomal RNA is filed under the name uncultured bacterium. Its description in RNAcentral is "partial 16S ribosomal RNA". It matches the Rfam family "Bacterial small subunit ribosomal RNA", at positions 1234 to 1500 of the family's 1533-position model. The record is from RNAcentral.
CAGGUACAGAGGGAUGCUACCGGGCGACCGGAUGCGGAUCUCGAAAGCCUGUCCCAGUUCGGACUGGAGUCUGCAACCCGACUCCACGAAGUUGGAUUCGCUAGUAAUCGCGCAUCAGCCAUGGCGCGGUGAAUACGUUCCCGGGCCUUGUACACACCGCCCGUCAAGCCAUGGGAGCCGGGGGCGCCCGAAGUCCGGGACCGCGAGGACCGGCCUAGGGCGAAACUGGUAACUGGGGCUAAGUCGUAACAAGGUACC